AGCCCUACGGGGCGCAGCAGUGGGGGAUAUUGCACAAUGGGGGAAACCCUGAUGCAGCGACGCCGCGUGGACGAAGAAGUAUUUCGGUAUGUAAAGUCCUAUCAGCAGGGAAGAAGAAAUGACGGUACCUGACUAAGAAGCCCCGGCUAACUACGUGCCAGCAGCCGCGGUAAUACGUAGGGGGCAAGCGUUAUCCGGAUUUACUGGGUGUAAAGGGAGCGUAGACGGCGGAACAAGUCAGAAGUGAAAACCCGGGGCUCAACCCUGGGAGUGCUUUUGAAACUGUUUGGCUGGAGUGCAGGAGG
Molecule: ribosomal RNA, 305 nt
Filed under: uncultured bacterium
Lineage: Bacteria
Description: bacterial SSU rRNA
Rfam family: Bacterial small subunit ribosomal RNA
Source: RNAcentral